AAAGUUACAAAAAAUUAUUCAAAUUUUUUAACAAAGCUGUUUUUGCUUUGUGCCAGCAAUCUUAUUUUUGCCCAUGGUAACAAUGCAUUUUAACAUUUGGUUACUGCCUGCAUUAUCUAAUUCAAGCUUUUUAAAAAGUUGAACAAGGAAAAGAUAUGGAAGCCGAAAGAACAUCCAAAAUAAAGGUACUGUCAAAGGGGCCCAAUUAAUGGCUCAAGUAGGCGAAGUGUGAUCUGAUUUGACCCAAGCCCAAAUGAUUCAACCCAAAUUCUCACACAGCUCCAUUAUACUUGAUCAGCAUAGAAGAAAAGCAGCAGAGGAGAAGAGAAAAUGGGGAGGAAGAAGGGAGUCCAGUUCGAUGAAGGAGCUCCGGAUGACUUCGACCCGAAUAAUCCUUAUAAGGACCCGGUGGCUUUCUUCGAGAUGAGGGAGCAUUUAGAGAGGGAAAAUGGGUCGACAUUGAAAAGGCGAAGAUACUCCGUGAAAAGCUGCGUUGGUGUUACCGUAUAGAGGGUCCAAAGGUUGAAGCUUUGGGAUUGGAAUGAUCAUUUUCUUUGGUCCAAUUUCUCAGGUUAUGGUGCAUCAUAGGAGAUGACAAAUGUCAGCAAAAGAAUUCAAAUAGGAUUGCUGAUUGAGGCUAUCUGAUUUCAAAUGACACUUUAGGAUGGAAAAACUUUGACAGGUUGGGUGUUACCACCAAAUAGAUGAAAGCGAGAGGCUGGAAUUCAAUUCGUAAUGCGUUAUGUUGAACCCCUCAAAGUUUUAAGGCAGCUUUUGCUCUAUGAUCUAGUGGCAGUGCCGUAGUGGUUGAGAUUUUUCUAUCUUUAAUUAGAUAUUUCGAAUUUAAACUUUUAAAUAAAGAUUUUUCCGGUGGAUAAUUUAUCUUUAUAAUAGAUUUACCCAACAUAAAUCUAGAUUAGUUGAAUCAGACAAUAUCAAAUAGCAAAUAGUUAAACAAAAGAAUUUUUUGUUAUACUUCCUUUUGCGUGUGCUUGUAAGUAUGUUCUUAAGUAAAUAAAAAAAAGAUUAACAAUAGAUUGAUAUUAAAUAAUCACAAAAUCCAAAAAAAAUUGAAAUUGUCUAUUCAUUAACGUCAAGUAGAGGGAGAUUUGCUCUUGAUACUACUGCUCGAAUAAUUGCUACUGAUUAACUUAUUAACAUAAUGUUAAGAAGAACAGAUAAGUCAGGAGACAAGAUGGUACCACAACGCCAUUGUAGUACUAAUAUUAUUCUUAUCUAACAAAGUUCUUUUGGCU
Molecule: non-coding RNA, 1256 nt
Organism: Nicotiana tabacum (common tobacco)
Lineage: Eukaryota; Viridiplantae; Streptophyta; Magnoliopsida; Solanales; Solanaceae
Source: RefSeq, a predicted model, not a curated record